CAAGUUUUUAAAGGAAGAUUCAAGUAUGGAAUAGAUUUUGUCCAGGACCCAUGAGGCAAUGUUGUGUGCAAAAAAAGGUAAAAGAUCCUGCUUCAUUUGGAUGGCAACCAAGUCAGCCAUAUGGGAAGGAAAAUAAUCUAGUGAGUUGCAAAAUAAGAAAUCAUGGUCCAUGUGUUCCGUUGGAUGGCUUUCUUUGGGAUAUAAGGUACUAUCUCUUUGAGUUUCAGUUUACAGCCCUUUAAAUGGGAAUAUCUUGGGCUUUGUUGCUAAGAUUUGAGUAUAUAAUGAAUAUGCAUCUGCUAACUAAAUCUCUUUACCAGAAGGAGCUCUUUGGAGUAUUCCCCUUUCCUGAC
RNAcentral lists this long non-coding RNA (353 nucleotides) under Equus caballus (horse). RNAcentral's name for it is "lncRNA (ENSECAG00000045445.1)". The record is from RNAcentral. Lineage: Eukaryota; Metazoa; Chordata; Mammalia; Perissodactyla; Equidae.